GAAUCGACUAGUUGUCGUGUGCGUAGGCUUCGGAAAGUCCGAAGGUGGUUAUAAUGCAUAAAGUGCAUUAAGGAAGGGUCCGCGGGAGCACCAGUGCAAAACUUGCACUGGAGCAGAAAUGCUCUCGGGGACCGGUCCCUGGCAGGGAGGGACCGGUCCCAUCAGGCUGGGUUGCGAAGGUCUCUGAUGAGACCGGUCCCUGAUGGGCAGGGACCGGUUCCCGAACGCUGGCCUGGCGAGACUUAGCCAAAUUUGGCUAAGUCCCGAGAAUGCAGCUCUCGGGAACCGGUCUCUCGGACAAGGACCGGUCUCCCGGGGACCGGUCUCUCAGGCAAGGACCGGUUCCCGAACGCGAAAAUCCCUCUGCUCGAAAUGGCAGCCUUCGGGGACCGGUCCCAAGUCGGGGAGACCGGUCUCUCCGCGCGAAAACUGCCCAGUGAGGGCAGUGCACAAGGGUGAAAGUUGAGGGGCUUUUAUGCAAAAUGGCCUUUAUUAGAGGUGGGGGACCCCUCUCACUCUCUCUCAGCUGCUCUCUCUCUCUCUUUCUCUCACUCUUUCCCUUUCUCUCUCUAGGAAAGAAAAGAAAAGAAAGAGAAGAAGGAGAAGAAGAAGAGGAAGGAGAAGAAGAAGAGAAAGAAGAAGAAAGAGAAAGAGAAGACUAAGAAGAAGAAGAAGAAGAAGAUAUCUUCUUCUCUCCCUCUCCCUCAAGCUUGAAGGAACCUUGUGUAGGGGUAAGCUCUAAACCCUUUAAUGGUGUUUCUAGGGUUUUGGGGUUUUUAUGGUUUGAAUGGGACCUAAUGGAACUAGGGAGAAGGUUCGAGCUCGCAAUUGAAGCUCGCACCACGGAUUUCUUCCCCGUUGCCAUCCUAGGGCACGGAAUUGGGUUUUUGGUAAAUCUAGGGUUUUGAUCUAAUCUAAUAGGUCGCAAACCUAAUUGCUAGGUCCCGGAACGCGUCGGCGAAGUCGGUUUCUCGAUCCGACGAGCGGGUGCGGAGAAAUCGCCGAAUCGGGUACUCGAGGGCUCGCUUCGCCCCGAGGAGUUGAAGCGGCGUACAAGAACCCCAACGUCGAGUUUUCUACUAUCACGGCAUCGCCAAGAGGUGGGUGGUGUCCAUCCCGAAGCAAUCGGGCUCCCUCCUAUGUCUUAGUAUAUUUGAUCUUGCAUCUUGUAUUAUUGCAUUAUAGGAUUAGUAUGCAUUGCCUUUCCUUAUGUUUUUCCUUCAUGGUAUCGUAGCGUACAUCGGAUAAUUGAUAUAUUGGAUUGAUAAGGAUUGGGUCGAGAUUGUGAAUCCUAUGAUGUAGAGAAAAUGAUGAACUAUGAACGAGUGGCAUCUAGUUAAUAGUAAACUAUGAACGAGUGGCAUCUAGUCGAUAGCGGACAAACGGACAAUCUAGUUAAUAGUGUAUGCGACACCUAUGGACUAUAUGAUGAUUGUGACUCUAGAGGACAGGGUAUCCUCGAGCUUAGAGGAUUGGAUCAUGCUCACGGUCUGUUAAAUCUUGUGAUGGAAGCCCCACACAAGUAGUGCGCUCCGGAUGUUGGUCACGCCAGGGAUUGCCUAUAUGGCCCCGCCAGACGGUCUCGGGUCCGUAGUGUGAGUUGAUUCUCCCUACGUGUCGAGAUGGCUAGUGAGCUGUAGGCGAGCCUUCGGGUAAGCCAUGAGAUUAAUGAACAAGUAAAUGAGGUUAAUGAACGAGUGAAUAGCUUCACCCUUGGACAUGAUAACAGAUUAGUUGCUUACCUAUUUCAUUGGACAUGCAUUCAUAUACUUAUGAUUGGGCAUGGUAGCGUAGCUUCAUUUCCGCCAUUUACAGCUUUCCUUAUCUAUCUACCUAUCUAUCGAUUGUCUACUUAUGCCCGCUUGGACCUAGUGGGGAGAUCGGCGGAGUCGGCGGCCGAACCCACUGGGAACUAAGGAAGUUAGUUCUCACCCCCAUUUUACCACAGGUUCCAGUUCGGGCGUCCCCGGUGAGCGUGAGGAUCGCGGUAAGGGCCCGGCGUUCUAGUCGCAUUAGCUACCUCCUUUUCUUGCAUUAGCCGUCACCCCUUUUGUAUUUGAGAGUAGAUGUUGUAUAGGGUGAGGGUUGAGUGCUUGUAUUUAUAUUUUGGAAGAAUGUAAAAGAUGUAUCUAAAUGUAGUAAAUCAAAUGAAUGUAAUAGAUAGUCUCUUCUCUCUUAUGUACUUGUAUAUGUUUCUAUACUUGUAUCUUGCUCUUGUUUAUAGCACUAGUGGUGCUUAUUGAUCGUGUAUUUAUGAAUUGAUUCCUGGGUAAAUUCUUAUGCACGAUCUGUUGGUUAGCCUUGGACGGACAGGGGAGGUCCUGUCCGUUCGGCGUCUGUUCGACGCGCCCGGGCCGGACCAAAUUGGUAGCGGUCGCGGGGCGUGACAGUUAAAGUGGUAUCAGAGCACCAGAGCAAGUAAAGAGAGAGUCUAGGAUGACCUAGGAGACCCUAGGUUGGUAAACCCUAAGGUUAUAGGGACGUGAGUGAACGUGAACCCAUGGCGGUGGCGGGAGUUGAUUGAUUGGGUCAAGUUGAUGUUGUGUCUCUAGCUGUGAAUAGAGACGGAUCCAAGUGACACUAGUUCUUGGCUUGUAGUGGUUGUGUCGGCGGCCGACGACGCGACGCUAAGAGUCCAGAACUGGAGCACUUGAGAGCUUCCGCCCGAUUUUACUGUCGAGUCGUUUAAUUUCGCGAACGUUGCGAAGUUAUCGGAUUGAGAUAACUAACCGAGUUGUUGCUUUUCAGGAGCAAAUGUCCCCAAGGCGUUAUGCGCGUAGGUCUGCUCCGGUACCGCCUUCUGCGGAGCCCGAGCAGCCAAGAUCGGAGGAGGUGCAGGAGCUGCGGGAGCAGGUCGCUGCAAUGUUGGGCGCGAUGCAGCGCCAGGAGGCUCGGUUCGAGCAGCUCCAGGAAGUUGUGGAGCGGCAAGCGGCAGCGGCGGCGGCCGCGACGGCGGCAGGAGAUCGCGAUCCGCCCGCACCUUCGGCACGCACGCCGGUAGCGGCCGAGGGUGAGGGCAUAGCGGCGGUUCCGAUGGCGGCGGUUCCCCCGCCGACAAGUGCGCCUCCGACAGCUUCGGGUUCGGCGACGCUUGAUACGACGGCCGAUGAAGUGGAGCGGGAGCGUGCGCUAACGGCUUUAAUGAGGUUUAUGAAGUUUAAGCCACCAACUUUUGAAGGGGGGAAAGUGGAGCCGUCGGUGGUGGAGUCUUGGGUAGACUCUAUGGAGACUCUCUUCGAGGACCUAUACACCUCGGAGAAAGAUAAGGUGCCUUUCGCCACCCAUUGCCUCGACAAGGCGGCGAAGGUGUGGUGGAAGCGGUUGAAGCGGGAUCGACCCUCUGAUCUUCCGCCAAUGCUCUGGGAGGAGUUCAAGAAGGAGAUGUUCGGAAACUACUUCCCCGACACCGAGAAGCGGAAGUUGAAGGAGAGGUUUCGCAAGUUGAGGCAGGGAGAUCGCUCGGUGGCGGACUACGAGCAGGAGUUCUCCCACAUUAUAGACUGCGUCCCGGACGUGGUCAAGGACGACGCGGAUCGAGCCGAGUGGUUCUUGCGAGGACUUCGGCCAUGGAUAUAUAGAGCGGUGCAGCUAUUCCAGCUCACAACUUUCGCCGAGGUCUUCAACAAGGCGCUGUGGGCAGAGCAUGGAGAUGCCCAUGUGCGGGAGGAGCGUGAGUUGUUGGCCGGAUCCCAAGACAAGGGGAAGAAGCGAUCGGGCGGCGGUUCGGGUGGACAGUCGAGUUCGAGGAGGCCCCCGAAGCAUCCGCGGUCGCAGUCGUGGGGCCGUGGGCCGCGGCGUUGCCCUAUUUGUGGAGAUCGAGGCCAUCGGGCACCGCAGUGUAGUCAACGACAAGGACGGUGCUUUAACUGCGGACAAGAAGGACAUAUUAGCCGUGACUGUCCGGCAAGGGCCUCGUCUACUCCGUCGGUCGCAUCGGCUCCAGCGCCCCCGCCUUAUCAGGGAGGGGCCCCCUAUGUUCCCGUGUCAGCAGGACGCGCAUUGGCGCCGCGCCAGCCGGAGGUGACUCGAUCAGCGCCGAGCGGACGGGUAUUCGCCGCUCAGGCCCAAGCCGAGGAGCCUGCCCUAGCCGAGGAGCCUGAUGUUGUGGCAGGUAUGGUUCUAAUCAAUGGAGUUCGCUCCAGAGCUAUGUUCGAUACGGGUGCCACGCAUUCAUUUAUUAGUAGAGCAUUUGCACGCAUGCAUGACAUACCCAUAGAAGCAAGUGGCAAGUGGCGAGUCGAGGGUCCCGAGUUAUCAUUUAACACCUAUACGGAGUGCUCGUCGUGUCCGGUGCAAGUGGGUGAUUGGAUAAUGCCCAUUCGGAUGUUGGAACUCACUAAACUGGAGGCGUACGACGUUAUUUUAGGUAUGGAUUGGCUCUCGAAGUAUUACGCCACGAUCGAUUGUAAGAAUAAAUUGAUCACUUUUCGGGAGCCCGGACAGAAGGAGUUCGUUUAUCGAGCUUGUCGGAGUUCUUGCUUCGUCGCGACAGUAUCGGCGACGAGAGCUAGGAAGUUGGUCAGCGGCGGUUGCGCGGCAUUUUUGGCGACCGUCGUGGAGGUGGACCGGGUGGUGCCGAAAUUAGAAGAUUUAUCGGUGGUGCGGGAAUUUCCGGAUGUGUUUCCCACGGAGUUAUCGGGGAUGCCGCCGGAUCGGGAGAUCGAGUUCGUUAUAGACUUGAUUCCCGGGACGGCGCCGAUCUCAAAGGCCCCAUACCGCAUGGCGCCGGCAGAGUUAAGAGAAUUGAGGGAUCAGUUACAAGAUCUUCUCGACAAAGGGUUUAUCAGGCCGAGCGUAUCGCCGUGGGGAGCGCCGGUGUUGUUCGUGCGCAAGAAGGAUGGCUCGUUUCGACUCUGCGUGGAUUAUCGAGAGUUGAAUAAGGUCACAAUAAAGAAUAAGUACCCGUUGCCCCGAAUCGACGACUUAUUUGAUCAAUUACAGGGGUCACGAGUGUACUCGAAGAUAGACCUACAAUCCGGCUACCAUCAGUUAAAGAUCAAGCCGGAGGAUAUUCAGAAGACCGCGUUUCGUACGCGUUAUGGACACUAUGAAUACACGGUUAUGCCUUUCGGGCUCACUAAUGCCCCGGCUGCAUUCAUGGACCUGAUGAACCGUGUGUUCAAGGCGUGCUUGGACCGAUUUGUCGUGGUCUUCAUAGACGACAUCUUGGUCUAUUCGCGGAACGACGAGGAGCACGCGGAGCAUUUGCGGACGGUGCUUCAAAUCCUUCGGGAGGAGAAGCUAUUCGCAAAGCUAAAGAAAUGUGAUUUCUGGCUUCGAGAGGUUGCCUUCUUGGGGCAUGUAAUUUCCGAGGGCGGUGUUUCGGUUGACCCGAGGAAAGUCGAAGCGGUCGAGAAUUGGCCACGCCCGACGAACGUCACGGAGGUCCGAAGCUUUGUGGGCUUAGCGGGCUAUUAUCGACGGUUUGUGGAGGGCUUUUCGAAGAUUGUAACUCCACUUACCGGUUUGACUCAGAAGGGCGUCAAGUUUAUUUGGAGCGACGAAUGUGACCAAAGCUUCAACGAGUUGAAGAAAAGAUUGACGUCGGCUCCAAUACUCGCCUUACCGGUGCAGGGCGAGGACUUUGUGGUUUAUAGCGACGCAUCCUAUCUGGGCUUGGGGUGUGUCCUGAUGCAAGGCGGGAGGGUGAUAGCUUAUGCAUCCCGUCAGCUGAAGGACCACGAGAAGAAUUACCCCAUCCAUGACUUGGAGUUGGCGGCGGUGAUCUUUGCGCUGAAGUUGUGGAGGCACUACCUAUACGGUGCACACUGCGAGAUCUACACCGACCACAAAAGUCUGAAGUACCUGUUUACCCAGAAGGAGCUAAACAUGCGACAGAGGCGGUGGCUAGAGCUAUUAAAGGACUAUGAUGUCGAUAUUCUCUACCACCCCGGCAAAGCAAAUGUGGUCGCAGACGCACUUAGCAGAAAGUCGGCGAAGAACCUCGCUUUUGAUGUUACCCGGCAAACACCCCUAGGGCUGGAAAUGGAGCGGCUGGACCUUGAAGUGGUCGCUCCCGAGGUCCCGGCCCAGCUGAUGGCGCUCGUUAUUCAACCGACCUUAUUGGAGAGGAUCAGAAAUUUGCAACCUGCAGAUCCGAGUCUCCAAAAGGUGCGGCGCAACAUCGAGGAAGGACGAGAUGGCGAUUUCAGUGUGGACGCCGGUGGCGCGCUCCGGUUUCGAAACCGGUGGUGCGUGCCCGAGAAUGAAGAGCUUCGCGAGUUGAUUCUACAAGAAGCUCACCGAUCUCCAUACGCGGAUCACCCGGGCGGCACCAAGAUGUAUCAUGAGUUAAGAGCACUCUAUUGGUGGCCGGGGAUGAAGGCUGAUAUUGGGCGCUUCGUGGCGAAGUGCUUGACUUGUCAGCAAGUAAAGGCGGAGCGCCGGUUUCCAGCGGGGAAGCUUCAAAGCUUACCUAUUCCCGUCUGGAAAUGGGAAGAUAUAUCUAUGGAUUUCGUCGUUGGCUUACCUCGCUCGACAGGGGGACACGACGCAAUCUGGGUGAUCGUGGACCGCUUGACGAAGUCAGCCCACUUUUUGCCGAUCCACACCACCUGGGCGGGAGAUAAGUUGGCGCAGGUAUAUCUUGACGAGGUAGUGAGGUUACACGGGGUGCCGAAAUCGAUUGUGUCGGAUAGAGACCCCAAGUUUACUUCACAUUUCUGGAAAAGCCUGCAGGAGGCCCUUGGCACACGGCUCGAUUUCAGUACUGCAUUCCAUCCCCAGACAGACGGACAAACUGAAAGAACCAUUCAGACUCUGGAGGAUAUGUUGCGAGCGUGUGUCAUCGAUUACAAAGGAGGUUGGUGUAAGUAUUUGCCGAUGGCCGAGUUCGCCUACAACAACAGUUAUCACGCUAGUGUGGAGAUGGCACCGUUCGAAGCUCUUUAUGGGCGGAAGUGCCGCUCUCCCAUUUAUUGGAGUGACGUGGGCGAGCGCACGGAAUUUGGCCCCGAUGUGCUGCGGGAGGCGGAAGAAAAGGUCCGCCUUGCUCGCAAACGGUUACUCACGGCGCAAUCUCGACAACAGAGCUAUGCGGAUAGGCGCCGGCGAGAUCUAGAGUUUGCGGUGGGUGACCGCGUCUUCUUGAAGGUCUCGCCUAUGAGGGGUGUAAAGCGGUUUGGAGUUCGGGGAAAGUUGAGUCCCCGAUACAUUGGCCCCUAUGAGAUCUUGGAGCGGAUUGGGACGGUGGCUUAUCGGCUCGCGUUGCCGCCGAAGCUUGCGGAUGUGCACAACGUAUUCCACGUCUCCAAUCUUCGCAAAUACAUUCCCGAUCCCGAGCAUGUAAUGCUAUAUGAGCCGCCGGAACUUCAGGAGGAUCUGAGCUACGAGGAAUUCCCGGUGGCAAUUACCGCUCGUGAAGUGCGCAAGUUAAGGAGUCGAGAGAUUCCUUAUGUCCGAGUCCGGUGGAGCAAUCAUGAUGAUCGCGAAGCCACCUGGGAGCUCGAGGAGGAGAUGAAGGCGAAUCAUCCUCGCCUGUUUGAAGGCUAAAUUGAGGUAUGAAUUUAGAAUUUGAAAUUCUAAUCAAGUUUUGGAGUAUUGAGUUCGUUUCGAGGACGAAACUCUUUUAAGGUGGGAAGGAUGUAAGGAAGUGAAUUCUCGAAACUCGAGGAUUAGACUUCGACCAGAAUCGACUAUUCGUCGAGUGAGUAGGCUUCGGAAAGCCCGAAGGCGAUUAUAAUGCAUAAAGUGCAUUAAAGAAGGGUCCGCGGGAGCACCAGUGCAAAAUCUGCACUGGAGCAGAAAUGCUCUCGGGGACCGGUCCCUGGCAGGGAGGGACCGGUUCCAUCAGGCUGGGUUGCGGAGGUCUCUGAUGAGACCGGUCCCUGGUGGGCAGGGACCGGUUCCCGAACGUUGGCCCGACGAGAUUUAGCCAAAUUUGGCUAAGUCCCGAGAAUGCAGCUCUCGGGAACCGGUCUCUCG
RNAcentral lists this long non-coding RNA (7923 nucleotides) under Ananas comosus (pineapple). Its description in RNAcentral is "long non-coding RNA (ACOM_LNC013255)". Lineage: Eukaryota; Viridiplantae; Streptophyta; Magnoliopsida; Poales; Bromeliaceae. The record is from RNAcentral.